AUACGGAGGGUCCGAGCGUUAUCCGGAAUCAUUGGGUUUAAAGGGUCCGUAGGCGGGAAUCUAAGUCAGUGGUGAAAUCUUGCAGCUCAACUGUAAAAUUGCCAUUGAUACUGGAUUUCUUGAAUUAGUGUGAAGUGGUUAGAAUGUGUAGUGUAGCGGUGAAACGCAUAGAUAUUACACAGAAUACCAAUUGCGAAGGCAGAUCACUAACACUAUAUUGACGCUGAGGGACGAAAGCGUGGGGAGCGAACAGGAUUAGAUACCCCAGUAGUCC
Molecule: ribosomal RNA, 274 nt
Filed under: uncultured bacterium
Lineage: Bacteria
Description: partial 16S ribosomal RNA
Rfam family: Bacterial small subunit ribosomal RNA
Source: RNAcentral